RNAcentral lists this ribosomal RNA (1261 nucleotides) under Pediococcus acidilactici. RNAcentral's name for it is "bacterial SSU rRNA". It matches the Rfam family "Bacterial small subunit ribosomal RNA", at positions 23 to 1262 of the family's 1533-position model. The record is from RNAcentral. Lineage: Bacteria; Bacillati; Bacillota; Bacilli; Lactobacillales; Lactobacillaceae.
CCCGCCAAAAAGGCCCGGGGGCCUAUACAUGCCAGUCGACGAACUUCCGUUAAUUGAUUAGGAGGUGCUUGCACUGAAUGAGAUUUUAACAUGAAGUGAGUGGCGGACGGGUGAGUAACACGUGGGUAACCUGCCCAGAAGCAGGGGAUAACACCUGGAAACAGAUGCUAAUACCGUAUAACAGAGAAAACCGCCUGGUUUUCUUUUAAAAGAUGGCUCUGCUAUCACUUCUGGAUGGACCCGCGGCGCAUUAGCUAGUUGGUGAGGUAACGGCUCACCAAGGCGAUGAUGCGUAGCCGACCUGAGAGGGUAAUCGGCCACAUUGGGACUGAGACACGGCCCAGACUCCUACGGGAGGCAGCAGUAGGGAAUCUUCCACAAUGGACGCAAGUCUGAUGGAGCAACGCCGCGUGAGUGAAGAAGGGUUUCGGCUCGUAAAGCUCUGUUGUUAAAGAAGAACGUGGGUGAGAGUAACUGUUCACCCAGUGACGGUAUUUAACCAGAAAGCCACGGCUAACUACGUGCCAGCAGCCGCGGUAAUACGUAGGUGGCAAGCGUUAUCCGGAUUUAUUGGGCGUAAAGCGAGCGCAGGCGGUCUUUUAAGUCUAAUGUGAAAGCCUUCGGCUCAACCGAAGAAGUGCAUUGGAAACUGGGAGACUUGAGUGCAGAAGAGGACAGUGGAACUCCAUGUGUAGCGGUGAAAUGCGUAGAUAUAUGGAAGAACACCAGUGGCGAAGGCGGCUGUCUGGUCUGUAACUGACGCUGAGGCUCGAAAGCAUGGGUAGCGAACAGGAUUAGAUACCCUGGUAGUCCAUGCCGUAAACGAUGAUUACUAAGUGUUGGAGGGUUUCCGCCCUUCAGUGCUGCAGCUAACGCAUUAAGUAAUCCGCCUGGGGAGUACGACCGCAAGGUUGAAACUCAAAAGAAUUGACGGGGGCCCGCACAAGCGGUGGAGCAUGUGGGUUUAAUUCGAAGCUACGCGAAGAACCUUACCAGGUCUUGACAUCUUCUGCCACCUAGAGAUUAGGCGUUCCCUUUCGGGACAGAUGACAGUGUGCAUGAUGUCGUCAGCUCGUGUCGUGAGAUGUUGGGUUAAGUCCCGCACGAGCGCACCUAUACUAGUUGCCAGCAUUCAGUGGGCACUCUUAGUGGAGACUGCCGGUGACAACCCGAGAAGUGGGACCAAACGUCGAUCAUCAUGGCCGUUAUGACCUGGCUACACACGGGCGCUCACAUUGGAGUGUGUGUCCACACCACAAGU